GUGGCUUUAUAGAUGGGCUCGUCGAAACACGGGAAGGCCUUUCUAGCGUGAGUCGGAGAGAACUGCGUCACCGCAAGAUACCUGCAGAAUAACAGCAGGAAUAAGAACAUAAGAGAGGCAAUGAAUGAGCCCACCUGCAAAACCAUUGAGAAUCCUGCCUCAAACACCUGCUUGACUACUGGUGACAAACUGUAGCUGUUUAAAGGUGCAGGAGUAAAACUGUUGGAAAUUGCUGUCAUGGUGGAGCAACAGUUUGAAGAAAAUCUAGCUGAACAUCUUAGUUAAAGAUUCUCUGAGGAUGGAGAUCUGGAGUGUCUCAGAGUGUCUCGCCCUUGAGCCGGAGCAGAUGUAGACAAGGAAGUGACACAACAUUUAGCUUUGAUAAGAGAGAUCAGCCACAUUCAUGUAUGAAGCCAGAUUUGGGAUUACAAAUAUCCGUUCUUGGUUACUUCGUACUUCACACCCAAGAUGACAGCUGAGGGAAAUGUUUAAUAUAUGAAAGUCAUACAAGAUUGGAAAUUUUGAAUGAGGAACAACCGGGCUAAACAACAAUCAGUCAGGUUUCAAAAGUGGAUAUUCAACAGAGACUGCCUUGCUGUCAAUCACCAAAGCCCUGUGGCUUGUGAGAACCGCCUCCAUCAUCUACCCACAUUCUGAGGGAUCUGUCUGCAGCACAGUAAGUUACCAGAUCCUAGUGAUCACAGUAUAAGGAGGGGGCCCAGCACCGAAUCCUGAGUUACCCCUAUGGAUAGAUGAUUUGAUUUAGACACCACUCCCUUGUAAGAUGAAAAACACAUUAUGAAUAAAAUAAAGUGGAUGUUAUGAUUGUUUAAUCCAAACAUAAUGAGUAGCACAUUAAUUUUGGAUAAUACCAAGCUGCAUUACUUUUGCCAAUAGCAACAGUGUAAGAGAGAGAAAUAAAUAAGCAGGUAAAGAUGAAGUGCGUGGAGAGUUUUGAGGCUAAUACUGAACCAUAAAUGAGCAUGCCCUUGCUUCCUUUCAGCCAGCUUUAUAAGCUCGCCAUAGUCAAGCUCAAUACUCUCCAAAAAAGCUCGGAAAGACU
Megalobrama amblycephala (Wuchang bream) is the source of this 1063-nucleotide long non-coding RNA. RefSeq lists it as uncharacterized. The transcript has 6 exons. NCBI's taxonomy places the organism in Eukaryota, Metazoa, Chordata, Actinopteri, Cypriniformes, Xenocyprididae. The record is from RefSeq and is a predicted model, not a curated record.